AUGAGCGUGAUUGCGGCUGCUGUGGGGAAGCAGGUCCUCGACAAGCUGGGCGGCAAGCUUGGCGGCGAGCUGGGCAGCUACGUCGUGUCAGAGGUCACUCUGCAGUGGAGGUACAAAGACGACGUGUUGAAGUUGGGGGAGAAGAUGAAAGAUGUGGAGGCCGUGCUGGGUGAUGCCGACGAGAGGUCGCGUCGAGGAGGACGAGAAGACGGAAGAGUGUACGAGCGGUGGCUUACCAAGUUUAAGCGUGUGGCCUAUGAUGUGGAGGACGUGCUGGAUGAGUUGGAAGCCAACGAGCUCAUCAAGAAGAGCCAACCCAAGGUCAGCUUAUGGUUUUCCAGAAACAAUCAACUCCUGCAGCGAAUGACCAUGCCCCACAAGAUGAAGAAGGUGAUGGAAAAAAUAGACGCAAUUGAAAAGGAGGGCAGAACGAGGCUCAGUCUUGUGCCGCAGGAAGCAAGGGGAGAAGGGAGCAGAAACAAUGAAACACUUGCAGCCAACUGGAAUGUUGCUGGCAUGAAAACUGGAAUGGUGGGCAGGGGUAUCGACAAGGAGAAGAUAAUCAGCCUGCUACUCACAAGUGAAGAAGCUAACCAGGAUAUCUCCAUCAUUCCAGUUGUCGGCCUUGGUGGCAUAGGCAAGACAACAUUGGCUGAAUCAGUUCUUGCAGACAAGAGGGUCAGUGUCUUUGACAUCUCAAUAUGGGUUAAUGUGUCCAUGCAGUUUGAUUUGCACAAAAUUGGGAGUGUCAUCCUGAAAAGAAUGAUGGAUGACACUAUCAACCUUGACAACUGUGAUUUGCAGUUUCAUCGUCUGAAAAAAGAACUUGCUACUAGAAGAUACUUGAUUGUUCUGGAUAAUCUCUGGGAAGAAGAUGGAAAUAAUCUUGAAAGGCUCAAGGAGAUGUUACAGCAUGGCCGAAAGGGCAGCCGUGUUAUAGUAACCACCCGAAACCUACGCGUAGUGCAACAAUUACGCACUGGUUUUCUUGCAAAUGAGAGGAAAAUUUGCCCAGUUCCAGAGUCUGAAAUAAUAGAGUUGGAUGUUUUAGAACCUGGUGACUGUUGGGAAUUAAUGAAGCAAAGGGCAUUUGGGCCUGAUGAUGACCAUACUGGCUUGGAAGAAAUUGGAAAGCAGAUUGCAGCCAAGUGUGGAGGAUUACCGCUCGUGGCAAAUGCUCUUGGGCAAGUAAUGUCAGAGCUAAGGACCGUGGGGGCAUGGGAACAUAUAAGGGACACCAAGGUUGUUUUGGAUUUUCAAGAAGAACAUCAGCAGGAAACAUUAGAGAGUCUAAUGCUGAGCUAUUACUGCAUGAAGAAAGAAUUCAGAAUGUGUUUCACGUACUUGGCAGCCUUCUCCAAGGGCUUUGUCAUGGACAGCAAUCGUCUAAUCCGGCAAUGGAAUGCACUUGGAUACAUUAAUUCAAGGCACGAUGGUCAAAGGUGCAUCAACUACCUUUUGGGGAUGUCCUUUCUUCGGAUUCCAGGAUCCGCUUUGGUUAGUCCAAGUGCAUUGCAUUUCAAAACUCCUCCAGAACUCGUCAUGCAUGAUUUGGUGCAUGAUCUUGUGUCAAGAAUUGUUGUUGAUGACUUCAUUAAUCUCGAUGCUACCAAAAGCACAAGCUGGAACACACCUCAUUACUACCGGCAUGCACAGUUAACCAACUUGAAGAAUGAUCCUAAGGUUUUCAAAUAUAUUCCAGGCAAACUUAGAUCCCUCCAUUUUAGGGAUUUUGGGGGAAUGCAACUCCCGAAAAAGGCAUUUUCUCUGUGCAAGUACAUACGUGUCUUGGACCUAAGUGGACAUUCAGCUAAAGGCCAAUCAGCUCCAAGUAGCGUGGUGCUGCCAUCUUCCAUUAGUCAAUUGAAGCUAAUUCGGUAUCUUGAUGCCACAGGCUUGCCAAUAGCAUCACUUCCUAAGAAUUUUCAUACACUACAAAACAUGGAAACUCUUAUUCUAUCAAAUUCCUUGCUUGAAACCUUACCUGACAUUAUUUGUCGCCUCGGCAAACUUUGCUAUUUGGACCUAUCUGGCAAUAACAGGCUCAGUAAGCUGCCAGCAUCACUAGGGGAGCUCUCUCAACUCUUUUUUCUCAAUCUAUCCGGGUGUUUUAUACUCCAAGAGUUGCCUGAAUCAAUCUGUGAGCUUACAUGCUUACAACACCUAAACAUGUCAGAUUGUUGUGCUCUUCAAAAGCUCCCUGAUAAAUUUGGUAGCCUUCCUAAACUCUCCUUCUUAAACUUGUCAAGUUGUUCAAAGCUCACCAAACUACCUGACAAUAUAAGCCUUCCGUGUUUAGAGCAUCUGAACCUAUUGAGUUGCCAUGAGCUAGAAAACCUGCCAAUUGAUUUUGGCCACCUUCAGAAACUUGAGUUCUUGAACCUCUCUGGUUGCUACAAGGUUUUAAUGCUGCCAGGGUCAUUUUGCCAACUUAAUCAUUUGAAGUACCUAGAUCUUUCAGAUUGUCAUAACCUUGAAAAACUCCCUGACUGUUUUGGUGACCUCGUCGAGCUUCAGUAUUUGAACCUAACAAGUUGUCCUAAACUCCGAGGAUUGCCUGAGUCAGUAUGCAAAUUGUUUAAGCUGAGGUGUCUCUAUUUGUCGUACUGUCUGAGGCUCAGUGAGCUCCCCUCCUCAUUUGGUGACCUUAAGCUUCAAAUACUGCACAUGAAUGGCCUUCUAUAUAUGUAUGACUGCCCUGAUAGCAUUGGUGACAUGACCAGUCUCACUCAGUUUGUGAUUGAUACUGCAACUUCUAAGCUGCUUGAGAAGAUUCCAGCCAUUCAAAAGCGUCUAAAUCUCGUGGGCACAGUAAGGCAUGACAUACAUGAGAUAGAGAGCAGAGGAUGCAGCAGUAUAGUGGACCUUGUGGGAUUGACUUGUUCAGAGCUGAUACUUGCAGGGCUUCAAAAUGUCAGGCAUCCAGAAGAUGCAGACAGAGUCAGACUGCGUGAUAAAUCAGAUAUUCGAUUGCUUAAACUUCUCUGGGAAAACCAAGAAGGUAAAUCAGUGCUGGACAGGCUAGUACCUCCUCGGACUCUUGAACACUUUCAGCUACUCGGGUAUAGCAGCAAGGAUUUCCCUAACUGGAUGUUUCACAUCUCGUCCUAUCUCCCCUUUCUCAGCGAACUAACUCUUAAUGGUUUGGAAGCAUGUGAUUCUCUUCCUCCAUUCGGGGCACUGCCAAAUUUAAGAAUGUUGUGUCUGAAAAACAUUCCCAAUAUUAAGAAAAUCGGUAAGGAAUUCUAUGGAGAGGGCAGACCUUGUAUGAAACUAAGAGUACUGACGCUGAAGUUGAUGAAGAAUUUGGUGGAAUGGUGGACAACAGAGACAGGUGAAGAAAACAAAGAGUUCUUAAUCCCCAAUUUGCAUUUUUUGUUUGUAGUGGACUGUCCAAAGUUGAAGUUCCUACCAUAUCCCCCAAGAAGUAUGAAUUGGGGUUUGAGCAACAGCGACGCAGUUUUGCCAGAACGAGGAUUUGGAAACCUCUCCUCUUAUAUUCAUCCUUCUGAGAUCGUUCUGAAGAGCUGUAGUUUCUCUCAAGACAGGUGGGAUAGUUUUCAACACUUUACCACCCUGGAGAAUUUUUAUGUAUACUCCAUCAGUGGCUUGAGGACUUUGCCAGAGGUCAUGCGGUGCUUCACUUCUCUCACUGGACUAUGGUUGGUGUCGUUGAAUGACCUGGAGACACUCCCGGUAUGGUUGGGUCAGCUCAGUUCUCUAGAACUCUUUCACAUCCACAAUUGCCCUAAGCUGACAUCUCUGCCCGAAAGCAUGAAGAAUCUCACCGCUCUUAGAAAACUGAGGUUGCUACAGUGCAAAGGCCGGGAGAUAUUACCGGAAUGGUUGGGACAGUUGACUUCUCUAGAAGAACUUUUCAUCAGAGAUUGUCCCAGCCUGACAUGUUUGCCUGAAAGCAUACAGAAUCUCUCUGCUUUGAAGCUACUGAGAAUUGUUCGAUGUCCGAGUCUAAUUGCGAGGUGCCAAGGGGAGGAUGCCCACAAGAUUUGUCACAUCCCCAAAGUCGAAUUCAACUGA
RNAcentral lists this ribosomal RNA (4038 nucleotides) under Triticum aestivum (bread wheat). Its description in RNAcentral is "partial small subunit ribosomal RNA". The record is from RNAcentral. Lineage: Eukaryota; Viridiplantae; Streptophyta; Magnoliopsida; Poales; Poaceae.